AUUGAACGCUGGCGGAAUGCUUUACACAUGCAAGUCGAACGAUGAGACCUAGCUUGCUAGGUUGAUUAGUGGCGAACGGGUGAGUAAUGUAUCGGAACGUAUCCAAUAAUGGGGGAUAACUAACCGAAAGGUUAGCUAAUACCGCAUACGCCCUACGGGGGAAAGCAGGGGAUCUUCGGACCUUGCGUUAAUGGAGCGGCCGAUAUCUGAUUAGCUAGUUGGUGAGGUAAAGGCUCACCAAGGCGACGAUCAGUAGCUGGUCUGAGAGGACGACCAGCCAUACUGGAACUGAGACAAGGUCCAGAAUCCUACGGGAGGCAGCAGUGGGGAAUUUUGGACAAUGGGCGAAAGCCUGAUCCAGCCAUUCCGCGUGAGUGAAGAAGGACUUCGGGUUGUAAAGCUCUUUCGCAAGGGAAGAAAACUUACUUUCUAAUAAAGAGUGAGGUUGACGGUACCUUGAUAAGAAGCACCGGCUAACUACGUGCCAGCAGCCGCGGUAA
RNAcentral lists this ribosomal RNA (500 nucleotides) under uncultured bacterium. RNAcentral describes it as "partial 16S ribosomal RNA". It matches the Rfam family "Bacterial small subunit ribosomal RNA", at positions 30 to 523 of the family's 1533-position model. The record is from RNAcentral.